ACUCCUACGGGAGGCAGCAGUGGGGAAUAUUGCACAAUGGGCGCAAGCCUGAUGCAGCCAUGCCGCGUGUGUAGAAGAAGGGCCUUCGGGUUGAUGAAAGUCACUUUCAGUCGUGAGGAAGGGUAGUAGUAGUUAAUAGCUGCUAUAUUUGACGUUAGCGAACAAGAAGAAGCGACCGCUAAACUCCGUGCCAGCAGCCGCGGUAAUACGGAGGGUGCGAGCGUUAAUCGGAAUUA
This 236-nucleotide ribosomal RNA is filed under the name uncultured bacterium. Its description in RNAcentral is "partial 16S ribosomal RNA". It matches the Rfam family "Bacterial small subunit ribosomal RNA", at positions 335 to 553 of the family's 1533-position model. The record is from RNAcentral.